AACAUUGAAACACCGGUUCUUGUCCGAUCAUUGGUUAAGUAAUGUUGAGCCUGGUUAGUACCUAGAUGGGUGACAACUUGAGAACACCAGGUGCUGUAAG
Acanthosepion pharaonis is the source of this 100-nucleotide non-coding RNA. NCBI's taxonomy places the organism in Eukaryota, Metazoa, Mollusca, Cephalopoda, Sepiida, Sepiidae. The record is from the annotation of a GenBank genome assembly.